RNAcentral lists this ribosomal RNA (301 nucleotides) under uncultured bacterium. Its description in RNAcentral is "bacterial SSU rRNA". It matches the Rfam family "Bacterial small subunit ribosomal RNA", at positions 338 to 650 of the family's 1533-position model. The record is from RNAcentral.
CCUACGGGGGGCAGCAGUCGGGAAUCGUUCACAAUGGGGGAAACCCUGAUGGUGCGACGCCGCGUGGGGGAAUGAAGGUCUUCGGAUUGUAAACCCCUGUCAUGUGGGAGCAAAUUAAAAAGAUAGUACCACAAGAGGAAGAGACGGCUAACUCUGUGCCAGCAGCCGCGGUAAUACAGAGGUCUCAAGCGUUGUUCGGAAUCACUGGGCGUAAAGCGUGCGUAGGCUGUUUCGUAAGUCGUGUGUGAAAGGCGCGGGCUCAACCCGCGGACGGCACAUGAUACUGCGGCUCGAAAGGGUG